Molecule: long non-coding RNA, 2682 nt
Filed under: Calidris pygmaea (Spoon-billed sandpiper)
Lineage: Eukaryota; Metazoa; Chordata; Aves; Charadriiformes; Scolopacidae
Description: lncRNA (ENSCPGG00000019066.1)
Source: RNAcentral
UAGCGGUGUGCCAGUGUUUUUCCCUUCCUGUCACAAGGCUAUCUGAAGAUCUUGGACCUGUUCCACACUUAAACUCCAAGCAUCUUUGUUGUCUAUCUGACCUUGCAAUAUGAUAGGCUGGAAACUUUUACUGUCUGGCUUUUUGUAAGGCUUGUUUCACAAUCUGGGCAAUGUAGAUUUCUCCGCUUCCCAUUUCCACUUCUGUAAUGUUUAUUAUAUUCAAUUGUACGUCUGGUUUGGUGUUCAUUUCUGCAGCUCCUGCCUACGUUUCAUGUAAUUCUUCAUCUUAUCUGCAAUUGGUAUCUGCACUCUCAAUCAGCUCAUCUCUUUUUAUUAGUAAUAGAUCCAGUCGGUUCAUACGUUUGCAUACGCUCUGGGAUGGUAAUGUCUUGCCUUGCCAGCAGACAGAGAUUUUAAGGCUGUGAUAACCUAUAUGCUUGUCUGAGGGAUGUGAAAAUAACGUUAUGAAUGUUGUUUACGAAAACUGGGUUUUGCACAGCUUCGGUAGUUUUCACGUACUGUAGUUGGCUGUCCUCAAAGAAGUGACAAGUAGAACUGACAGCAUUGCAAGCCCUUAGUUUACAUCUGAACAUAACUAAUCGAUCAUGAAAAUCCUCAGCAUUUUCUCUUGGUUACCUCUGUGUCGAUACCACUGCUAGGACAGUUUUCUUUAAAUUACUCUACACUUCUUAUGCUCCGUUUUUACCUCUGAUUAGACCUUGUUUCCCUUUCCUAAUUUUUUACUUCUACUGACCUUGCACUAUGCAUAAACAUUCUUCAUGAGGAAAUCAGUGAGAUAUUUGUAGUUAAUUUUUUAUGUCUUAGAUUUUGUGCCCGGUACAUAAUGAUCCAGUUACAUCUCAACUUGCGUGCUGCAACCCUGACUUUCCACUUCUUCUCUCUAUUGCCAACGAAGCAAGUUUAUUUUCUAAUAACUUGAAGUACCUCCUAUUAUCCUUAACUCUCUACAGAUGCUUCCCUCCUCCUUCCUGGUUAAUGCAAGUCUCUCUGCUUCCAAGGAUCCUCUGCCUAGGAUUGUGCCUGUCUCCUCCUGUGCCAUUUUCUGCUCCCAGAUGGAAGGAGACAGUGUGAGAACCCGACAGAUAAAUCUUUCAUGCGCCCUGCCUUUGCCUGUGGGCUGUACAUUCCCAUUUCUUCUGUGCACCCCCUGCAUAACUGCGCAGAAACGUGGUUUCAGCCGGAGCCAAGCACUCUUCCUCCAGCGGUUCGGUAUCAGUUCUCAUCUCUGACAGCCGAGAACCAGCAAUGUCACUGAGCAGCACCACUGCGGUGUCCAGAUGUUCACGACACCCAGAAGCUCCUCUGUGGUGCUGUAGAAAGGGGCCUUGCUAGAGGAGGUUGCUCCAGUUUCUUCUGCCAAAGGAUGACUGCAGUUGCGCUUGUCCUGCCAUCCACCUCUGUGGGCAACUCCUUGACCACUCCUGCUUCUCUACCCCUCCUGCUUCUCCUACCACCCAAGGGACUGUCCAUGGGCCCCAAGCAUUUCACAGCACAUUUCUCGUCUUCUACCACCCAACUCAUUCCAAAACUGUCUUGAGUUUUCCUAAGUACCAGUCACUAAGCAGUUAAAGCCUGAUUUGAGUGAAAAAAAAAUCUGAUGUCGGAUGGCUCCUCCAGUCCCACCGCCCACACCCUUCCGGUUGCAGACUGGAGUGAGUGGGAGCUGGCGAGGGCUUGGAGUGGAAGCAGCAGAAGAGGACUUCUGUGCUGCCAUGCCUGUGCAGCCUAUUGCCACCUAGUGCUGUGAACUUGGAAAAGCAAAAUUUUUUUCCUUCUCCUCAAGACCGAGACUGCUGCAACCCAGCCACCGAAGUGGUCAUGACUCAGAAGGUCCUCUUCUGUUGCAGCAGGACUUCUUAACCUACCUACUUCACCAUAUCCUACGCUCAUUAUAACCGAUUUAGGGCUCUUAACUUUGACGCUGCACUUUCUUGCGCUGCAGUUGGUGCUAAAUACCAUCACUGCUCUUUCUUAGUGCAGGGGUUUUAAAGGUCUGGUCCUACGGCAACGUGGCAUAUGCAAUUACACUUCAUACGGGUGGCUACCUGUCUGUACACCCUCCUUCCUAUCACUCUGUUUGCCGCGCAAACGCGAGUGGCAGAAGUCCCAAGGAUAAUUAAGUUUGUUCAAGCUUGAAAAAUAGUCAACCACAUGAAAGAAAAGCCUGCUAAGGGGAAGGUUGCAACAUAAGCCUGUAUGUUCAUCGGCAUCAGUGAGUAAGCGAGGGGGAAGGGCAGUAGUUACAGCAAAGACUUCAAGUGGUGCUUGCACCUUCCUCGGUGUCAAAGCUGACCACCCAUGCCCCCAAAAAGUAGGCUCUCUUGGUACCAGCUCACAGACUUCUUUGUAUUAACUGCUAUGUCUAAAUAUACACGAGCAGUGCUCUGAAUUUAGAGAGAUCAGGCACAUUUUUGCGUGUGCAUUUUUUUUUCCUUUGCUCCUGUGUUAAUUCCACCCCCCACCCCCCCCCGUACAACUCAUUACUGACUAUUAUCUUAGCUCCCGUUAAAUCUCUUUUAGAGGCUGGCAUUUUAACUUACCAGCUUGAGCUCUAGACUGUUGACACGUUACACUGCAGAAAGCAGUGAAAUUAUCAUGGACUGAGUUGGUUUUUUUUUAAGGCACCGCGUGAUGAGAAUAAAUCAUGUUGUCACUCUGACA